CCUACGGGUGGCAGCAGUGGGGAAUAUUGGACAAUGGGCGAAAGCCUGAUCCAGCCAUGCCGCGUGUGUGAAGAAGGCCUUCGGGUUGUAAAGCACUUUCAGUGGGGAAGAAAGCCUUGGGGCUAAUACCCUCGAGGAAGGACAUCACCCACAGAAGAAGCACCGGCUAACUCCGUGCCAGCAGCCGCGGUAAUACGGAGGGUGCGAGCGUUAAUCGGAAUUACUGGGCGUAAAGCGCGCGUAGGCGGUCUGAUAAGCCGGUUGUGAAAGCCCCGGGCUCAACCUGGGAACGGCAUCCGGAACUGUCAGGCUAGAGUGCAGGAGAGGAAGGUAGACUUCCCGGUGUAGCGGUGAAAUGCGUAGAGAUCGGGAGGAAUACCAGUGGCGAAGGCGGCCUUCUGGACUGACACUGACGCUGAGGUGCGAAAGCGUGGGUAGCAAACAGGAGUAGAUACCCCUGUAGUC
This 465-nucleotide ribosomal RNA is filed under the name Vreelandella stevensii. Its description in RNAcentral is "partial 16S ribosomal RNA". It matches the Rfam family "Bacterial small subunit ribosomal RNA", at positions 338 to 795 of the family's 1533-position model. The record is from RNAcentral. Lineage: Bacteria; Pseudomonadati; Pseudomonadota; Gammaproteobacteria; Oceanospirillales; Halomonadaceae.